This is a small nucleolar RNA of Eucalyptus grandis, 86 nucleotides long. RefSeq annotates it as small nucleolar RNA U83. Lineage: Eukaryota; Viridiplantae; Streptophyta; Magnoliopsida; Myrtales; Myrtaceae. The record is from RefSeq and is a predicted model, not a curated record. The transcript has a single exon.
UGCCUAUGAUGAAAGAGAUGCUAUUUGCGCUUGUGGAUGAGAAUUCGUGAUUUACACAGAAACUCUACUGCCUUCCUUCUGAGGCC